GGGUUGUGAGGUUAAGCGACUAAGCGUACACGGUGGAUGCCCUGGCAGUCAGAGGCGAUGAAGGGCGUGCUAAUCUGCGAUAAGCGCCGGUAAGGUGAUAUGAACCGUUAUAACCGGCGAUACCCGAAUGGGGAAACCCAGUGUGAUUCGUCACACUAUCAUUAACUGAAUCCAUAGGUUAAUGAGGCGAACCGGGGGAACUGAAACAUCUAAGUACCCCGAGGAAAAGAAAUCAACCGAGAUUCCCCCAGUAGCGGCGAGCGAACGGGGAGGAGCCCAGAGCCUGAAUCAGCAUGUGUGUUAGUGGAAGCGUCUGGAAAGGUGCGCGAUACAGGGUGACAGCCCCGUACACAAAAGCGCAUGUGCUGUGAGCUCGAUGAGUAGGGCGGGACACGUGGUAUCCUGUCUGAAUAUGGGGGGACCAUCCUCCAAGGCUAAAUACUCCUGACUGACCGAUAGUGAACCAGUACCGUGAGGGAAAGGCGAAAAGAACCCCGGCGAGGGGAGUGAAAAAGAACCUGAAACCGUGUACGUACAAGCAGUGGGAGCACCCUUCGGGGUGUGACUGCGUACCUUUUGUA
This 581-nucleotide ribosomal RNA is filed under the name Salmonella enterica subsp. enterica serovar Typhimurium var. 5-. Its description in RNAcentral is "bacterial LSU rRNA". It matches the Rfam family "Bacterial large subunit ribosomal RNA", at positions 1 to 612 of the family's 2925-position model. The record is from RNAcentral. Lineage: Bacteria; Pseudomonadati; Pseudomonadota; Gammaproteobacteria; Enterobacterales; Enterobacteriaceae.